UAUUUUCUUAUAUGUUAUAUUUUGAAUUUUUUAAAAUGAUUUUAAAUUACAAAAAUGUAAGUUUUCCUUCAACAUACGACUAAAAGCAUUAAAAUGACAAGUAUCAAUUCGAUGGUUGAUCUGAAACUUUUCAAAACCAUAUGGAAGAUAAAUGUAAAAAUAAUUCAACUAUGGAAAUAGGUAUGGUUCAUUGUUUUUAAGAAUGUUUGGAAAAAAAAAUAAGAUUUUUGUGUCAUAAUUUGUUUAAUUUACAAUCCGAUCAACCCAUGAUAUAUUAAUUAUAGUUUAGUUCUACCAUUUUUAAUAAAAAUUGAUCUGGUCCAUCAGAAAAAAAUUAUGUAAUAACAACAAAAAACAUUGUAUAUGUAUAAAUAAAAUAAUCAAAAAACAAAAAAAAACAUAGUCGAUAAUAUA
Molecule: long non-coding RNA, 414 nt
Filed under: Brassica rapa (field mustard)
Lineage: Eukaryota; Viridiplantae; Streptophyta; Magnoliopsida; Brassicales; Brassicaceae
Description: long non-coding RNA (BRAP_LNC000603)
Source: RNAcentral